GUAAGAGGGACAACGGUUCAAGGCCGAUCGUUAGCCUCGAGGGGUCCACAUGGAACUGAGCACCGCCAAGUUCUACGGAAGGGCAGCCAGUGAGUAUUCUUUCGUCAUAGGAUAAGUCCUGAACGGAGCAAACGGCCCGCUUUGAUUGAUGGAAGGGUUUUCGGAAUUGUUAUAAACUUCUGUUUAUCAGGGAAAGAACAAAAUGUAGUAAGGUAAUCUGUCCACCAUUCUUUGAACGGUACUUGAUUCAGAAAAGCCACGGCUAAACUAGGUGCCAGCCAGCCGCGGUAAAUACGUAGGUGGCCAAGCGUUAUCCGGAAUUUAUUGGGCCGUAAAGCGCGCGUAGGCGUUUUUUUUAGUUCUGAUGUGAAAGCCCACGGCUCCAACCGUGGAGGUUCAUUGGAAACUGGAAACUUGAGUGCAGAAGAGGAAAGUGGAAUUUCCAUGUGUAGCGGUGAAAUGCGCAGAGAUAUGGAGGACACCAGUGGCGAAGGCGACUUUUCUGGUCUGUAACUGACGCUGAUGUGCGAAAGCGUGGGGAUCAAACAGGAUUAGAUACCCUGGUAGUCCACGCCGUAAACGAUGAGUGAUAAGUGUUAGGGGGUUUCCGCCCCUUAGUGCUGCAGCUAACGCAUUAAGCACUCCGCCUGGGGAGUACGACCGCAAGGUUGAAACUCAAAGGAAUUGACGGGGACCCGCACAAGCGGUGGAGCAUGUGGUUUAAUUCGAAGCAACGCGAAGAACCUUACCAAAUCUUGACAUCCUUUGACCGCUCUAGAGAUAGAGUCUUCCCCUUCGGGGGACAAAGUGACAGGUGGUGCAUGGUUGUCGUCAGCUCGUGUCGUGAGAUGUUGGGUUAAGUCCCGCAACGAGCGCAACCCUUAAGCUUAGUUGCCAUCAUUAAGUUGGGCACUCUAAGUUGACUGCCGGUGACAAACCGGAGGAAGGUGGGGAUGACGUCAAAUCAUCAUGCCCCUUAUGAUUUGGGCUACACACGUGCUACAAUGGACAAUACAAAGGGCAGCUAAACCGCGAGGUCAAGCAAAUCCCAUAAAGUUGUUCUCAGUUCGGAUUGUAGUCUGCAACUCGACUACAUGAAGCUGGAAUCGCUAGUAAUCGUAGAUCAGCAUGCUACGGUGAAUACGUUCCCGGGUCUUGUACACACCGCCCGUCACACCACGAGAGUUUGUAACACCCGAAGCCGUCGGGAUCCAGAGUUUGAUCCUGGUCAGAACGAACGCUGGUUCCU
RNAcentral lists this ribosomal RNA (1249 nucleotides) under Staphylococcus warneri. RNAcentral's name for it is "bacterial SSU rRNA". It matches the Rfam family "Bacterial small subunit ribosomal RNA", at positions 248 to 1470 of the family's 1533-position model. Lineage: Bacteria; Bacillati; Bacillota; Bacilli; Caryophanales; Staphylococcaceae. The record is from RNAcentral.